RNAcentral lists this transfer RNA (90 nucleotides) under Thermus brockianus. RNAcentral describes it as "tRNA-Arg". The record is from RNAcentral. Lineage: Bacteria; Thermotogati; Deinococcota; Deinococci; Thermales; Thermaceae.
GGGGUGCUGGGGGAGGAAGCCCGGGGCUUUCUCCGCUUCCUGAAGGAAGCGGGAGCCCGUUACUGGCAGGUUCUACCCCUGGGCCCCACG